RNAcentral lists this ribosomal RNA (3299 nucleotides) under Triticum aestivum (bread wheat). RNAcentral describes it as "partial small subunit ribosomal RNA". Lineage: Eukaryota; Viridiplantae; Streptophyta; Magnoliopsida; Poales; Poaceae. The record is from RNAcentral.
GGGCGGACAAGAGGGGAAGGGGAGGAUGAGGUGUCGGGCACGGGGUGGGAGCUCGAGCGGAGCGGAGGGAGGGGGAGGGGAGGAUGCCGGACCUCUACGAGCGCUCAGGGUGGUUCGAGGUGGUAGAGGAGGAGGGCCGCGGCGGCGUAGAGCGGAAGCGAGAGGGCGUGCGGCGCGGCGGCGAGGUGCGCACCGAAGGGGAGAGGGCGCACCGCGGCGGCGCGCAGCGCCGUGAGUGCGUACCGAGGAGCACGGCUUACGCUGCCUCCCCAUGCUCCCGAUUUCAACACCGACGGCCUCCUCUGCUCCGCUCGUCGAGGCCGGGCUGGUUCAAGAGGCACUUUUAAGGGCAGCCGCUGGCGGUGUAUAAUCACCUUUGUCCUGUGUAACCCUCCGUUCGGUCACGAAGACAUUACCAGUGCCUACCGCUUUGUUAACAGAUGACAAGACAAACAUACCGACUAUGAGGUUCGCUAGGAAGACUAAAAAAGGGUUACAGCCAAGUGAUAGUCCUCGCGGAAAGUCGACGACCUUCUUGAUCACCACCAAAAAAAUUUGCUCUUCCUUCCCGUUUUCUGGUGCUCCAAAAUCAUACGUCUAAUUAUCUGUCCGGAGAUGCGGGAUGAUACGGGUUCCCCAAGAUGAUACUUUGAGUCUAAGAUAGGACCCAAAAGUCAAUACUGCCAUAAGUAAGGGGUCUAACGCACCGACACUGUCGACGACCAUAGCGGUACCGUGAGAGACUUCAAGGUUUAUUUGUUUGUUAACGACCGCAUUCUUAGCCAUACUAAUUACUAGUAAAACAACAAUUGGGUUGGUGACUUGUUUACCUCCUGAGCCUUAACCUAAACUACUACCGACCCUGGCUAUCACGAUAUAACUACUAUCUCCCUAAGACACUGAAAGAGUGUCUCCUUUUCGAUGAAGUUCGACAACUUUGUCCUGUCCACCGCUAAGCUCUUUAGACGUUCCGUUAGCUACAAGAACAGGUCUGAACACCCUUCUUCUUUUACCAGCUCCGAUAGUUAAAUGGUGGGCGACUUGAGAUGUCCGUACAACUUCUAUAAAGACCUGUACUCAACCACUUCCGUAACGUUUAUUUUCUUUUUUAAGGGGCAUCUUUUCGAGAAAGUCGUGACCUCCUCUUUCAUUAUUACUAUGAAAGUCUCGUCCCAAUACACAGGUUUCUACUCAAUAGACCUGGGUAACUUUUAAAUCGACUAUAACAGCUCCUCCUUCUACUCCUGCUUCAAUAUCUCCUACCACUUCACCUACUUCCACUACAAGUGUAGUUCGGUCACAGCUCUUUUGGGGUGGUAGUCAAUAAGAGUCUUCAACUACAGUUCAAUCAGAAGUUCCUUCAAAGUAGGUUUAUAGACGCUUCCGCCUAACAUCUCCCGCUUUUCGCUUCGCUACCUGCCUCACGGACACUCGAAGCGGGGUAAUUAAGAGUUACACCUUAUGAGGGUGCCCGUGUACCAUCACGUGACAAGUGUUCCCCUCUUUGUGUCCAUUCCGUGACCGACACCAGUGAAAUCCACUGAUAGUCUACCGUGUUUCUUAACUGUGGGAACAACUGUGGCUCCUUAGUUUCUCAAAGAUAGAAGUCAUGUGUAAGGGAGGUAGUAGACAACCACUUCAACCAGCUUGACCUCGUGGAUUAUCCUCUCUCUAUCCAGUACCAUACGAACGUCUUUCCCGCGACCUUGGCCAAAAUGGACGUCUCCACCUAAAAGGCAUGUGAUAAGCACAACUCUCAUGAUAGUGACUUUCAUUACCGAGUAGGUCGUACCGAAGACAGACACCUCCAACAAAUCGUGAAGUUCUACGACCACAAGGUUAUUUCAAGGGACAUCGACCUUAUCGUUACCCGAAUCAAGAACUGUGCGUCCUUAAGCCACCUCUGCCGUGUGGUGAUUAAGAAAGACUAUAAUGACCUAGACUUCUACGGAGACCACUGUACCUAAACUUCCAACGACCAUUACUUGUACCAUAUAGACGAAAGGUUUACCUGUAGUUCCAUCACCCCUAUUGAGAUGGACAUUACCUUGUUCGUGAAGACGUUCGAUCUCUACCAUCUUUCGUAUAAGAUUUACUUUACAAUUUUACAAGCGGAGGCGGUUCAUUUCGUGACAGAGGGGUACGAGGACAAUAAGUGCAAUACUUCCAAUUUGGAUUGUUCCACUUAAACUAUUAACCAAGACCGCCUUCCUGUUAUUUUUCGUAUGAGCUCCUCUGACCUCAUAUACGGUAACUACGAGCUCUACUACCGUGCCAUUUUUAAUGACGUUCCCUGUACCUUUCGAAUCUCUUCAGCUUUUUAUAUUAUUGAUUAGAAUGGUACCAAGGUUUUCAACCUCUCUAAAAGUCCUUGACACUCUAGUUUUGUUAACGAGGGAUACCUCGAAAACAACUUUAACGUGGUCCCGCACUCCCAAAUACAGUAUAGUCGCUCAAUUCAAGUUCAACCAACCGGUUCCGGCUCCUACGAAUAUUUCAACCACUAGCGUAACUACAGUUCGAAUAACUCUAUUUACUAUUCCCAGUUGAAGCUGAUUCAACGUUUCGCAACGAAGGACUACGUUUGGUUCUUGGACCGUCGUAGUUCGUCGUUUACUCGUCAAGUCACUUUCUUUUCCAUCAUAUGUUUCUACUAUAGUAAUUCUACUGUUGAUCUUCCAGGUCUGCAUUCUUUCUUCAACUCGGCGGACGUCGACUUUUACGGUGUGGUUUCUGGGAACUUUUGUCGUGUCGACUGUCAGGAAUUCCGUAAACCUGAGUGUUUCUGUCACUUUCUUUGUCCCACUGUGUUCGUUGUACGGCGAAGUAGUGUGAUUAACGGAUCCUAACGUUGAUGUUGUAGGUGACUGACGUAAUGACCUUGAUGUACUGUACCGAGCGACGGGUUUAACGGGUGAACGGGGGAACUCUAACCUGGGGAUGUCUUCUAGACAAGUUUAGAAACACGAGCUAGUACAAGGUUUACCUCAUCUACGCUUUAGAGUGGACCAAAUACAACGGCGAAACCGUACGUUGAUACAACCCACACAAGGGUAUCCGUGUAGGACGUAAAACAGAUCACGUUGUUCCUCACGGAUGACACCGAAACGAUGUAACGAAAUUGUACCGGAUCGAUACGGGCACGCAACGGUGUCUUGUUGUUCGUUUACACGUCGUAACAAGAUAAAACAGUCUAUUUACCUCUCGUUGCACACAAAACAAAAGUGGCACAUCGAUAUUUGUUCGGAUGAAGAAAGCGAAGGAGGGUUAGUCGGCGGUACUCUUAUAAUGCACCUUUG